GGGCGGGGCGCGGCGCGCGAGCUGCUGACGCACGCGGCCGGCGGAAGGGGCGGGGAGGCGGACCGCGAGAGCCGGGACCGCGCAUCCUGGACCCCGAGCCCCGAGACGUGGACCCGGACCACGAGCCCCGAGGCCCGGGACCAGACCGCGAGAGCCGGGAACGCGGACCCCGGACCACGAGCCCCGAGAGCCGGGACUGCAGACCCCGGACCACGAGCCCCGAGACCUGGGACCGGACCGCGAGAGCCGGGACCGCGGACCCCGCACCCCAAGACCUGAGACCCGGGACCGCGGAUCCCGGACCCCGAACCCCGAGACCCGGGCCGCGGGCACAGCCCGGGAGGAGAGGCCGCGCGGCCCGCCCGGGGUGGCGGCGCCCCGGAGGUCUCGGCGCGGCUGCCGCAUCCCAUCCCGGGGUCCCAGCCCGGACGAGGCUCCGUCCUGGUCCCCCGGGGCCGGCCACCUGGAGGAGGCCUCAUCCCCGGGAGCCGGUCACCUGAGGAGGACCCGUCCUCAUCCCUGGGGUCCCAUCGCCCGAGGAGGCCCAGGAGGCGGGUCACGGCGGGCGGCCGCAGGGGCACGGGUGGGCAGGCCGCCGGAGCUCGGCGGUCGGGCGCCCCUCCCGGUGGAGCAGGGACCGUGGCCGCGCGGUGUCCCGGCGCAGGUGCCGAGCCGCGGAGACGCCCCUGCUCGCUCCACCUUGGCCGUGACGGCGUCCUCGGUUCAUUUAGGAAAAAGACCCCCAGACUUGCAGGUGUCCACGGAGGGGUCCCAGCUCCCAGGACGUCGGAAAGGUGGGACUGCCCCCCGCCCCGGGCCCGGGCUCCCCUCCGGGAAACGGGGCGGUGCGAGCGGCCUCCCCCGAGCGCCCGUGGGGAGCAGGGCUGCGGACGGACGGCGGCCCCGACUCUGAACCCGCUCGGCGUGGGGUCCCUGCAGGAGGCUGAGACCGCGGGCCUGUCGGGGCGCGUGGGAGGCCCGCCGUCUGCGGCUCCCCGCGCCUUCCCGGGGCUGAGCAGCCCGAGGGGGGCCCUUCAACCUGAGCAGCAUCUUCGGGGAGGAGGCUGUCAAGACUUCUGUCCCAGAGCUCUGCAGUAACUGCCGUUAACGUGAGGGUAAUACUGUAAAGAUAUGCUUCAGUAAGACGUCUCUAAAAACAUUAAUGUCUUGCAGAAUGAAGCAUUUAGAAACUCUGAAUUCUUAAAAGUUUGAAAGUCGAGUUUGUACUCCCCUCCAACCCACCCAUCUGUUCUUCUUCUGGAGAAACCCCCGGAGAGGAGCAGCCCAGACGGCAGGGGCGGAGUAGAGGAGUCUGACCCGCCUAGGCGGCAAGAAGCCCCCAGCUCUCUCCCUGAAAACACCAGUUGAAUUUUUCAGUUUCUUUUCUUAUAGCUUCACGUCAGAUACAAGCCACUGUGACACAUGCAUGAGUAAAAUGCUCUUGGUAUUUUGAUAAAUAUGUUUAAUUUUUAAAAGACAGACUGGCGAGUUAAGCCACUUACCCAUGCACAAAAUUCGUGAAGCCAGAAUUAUAUGUUAUCUAGAAAUGCAAUUAGCCAUUUAAAGCCAUGUGUAAAUACUGACACCCCAGAAAUGUUUAAAUUUCCUUCUGUCACCCCCUGCAGGUUCACAAGAUGAAGAGUAGUAGUUUCAAUCGCUCACUGUAUUUUAAUUUAUAGCGUUGCAUUCCACAUAUUUAUCUUCACUGUGUACUAUUUCUUUUUUUUCCUAAAGAUCGGCACCUGAGCUAACCACUAUUGCCAAUCUUUUUUUUUUCUGCUUUUUCUCCCCAAAUCCCCCCAGUACAUAGUUGUAUAUUUUUUUCAAUUGUGGGUCCUUCUAGUUGUGGCUUGUGGGACGCCACCUCAGCAUGGCCUGAGGAGCAGUGCCAUGUCCGCGCCCAAGAUCCAAACCGGCGAAAGCUUGGGCCGCCAAAGCGGAGCUCGAGAACUUCACCACUUGGCCACGGGUGAUGAGAGCUGGCUCCGCCCCGUGAUUAGUGGCGCAUACUGGAGAACAGAGGCUGCCAGAAGCUGGAAUCCGCGACCCUGGAAGGGAGCAGGUUAAUCCCCGCUUGGCGUCUGAGCCUGUACUGUUUACCUCGCACUCGACUCUAAUCUGUGAGUUGAUUGUCAGCUUCAGUUUCCUGGGAGAGCACACAGCCUUAACCUGAAGUGGACCCUAACCAUGGAGAAGUCCUGCGGAAGCCAAUGGGAUGGCACAGUCAUCUCAACCCUGAGAGAAAAACGGUCCUUCCAGCCAGGGGAGGCAGGAGGAUGCGACCCUCUCUGAAGAACGUGGAGGGAAUCCGUGUUUAUUGUUUCUCUCCUCAUUUUGCCUGAGGGCAGUUCCUUUUGGCAAAAUCAUGGGGCAUGUCGGCGGGUAACAACCAGAGAGAAACCGAGACUUUCUAACCAAAGCACCAGGAAAAGAGACCCCAGGGGGCCAGAGAGCCCGGGAGUCAUCCUGGAGAGGAGAGGCCUGGAAAGCAGCUCACCAUUCUGUGUACGAGCAGACACACGUGCCCAGCGCUGCAUGUGCAAGGCAGAGCAGAAGCACGUUCGAAAUGAAUCGACACUGGAACUGCCACCAACAGAGAAAGACGGGGCUGCUGUCAGAGGAUAACCAGCGCAAGUCUGCUGAAGCACAACUAAACAUGCCCCAGAGAAUUCUUUAGAAUUUUAGCACACAGGGUCUCCCAGCAUAAACAGACAGUCCUUGCUUUGCACAGCAGGACAGACCGUAAAAAUGGCCGUGCCAGCUGAAACUGUGCCCUGCAGCCAUAAUAACCACUGGGUAAAGUUAGGAUUUUCUGUGACUUUUAGAAAUUUUCAUCAAAACAUCAAAAACUCAUAUUGUCGGUUAUAAAUGUGUGAGGAAAUGAGCAAAAUAGUAAAAUUAAUAUUUAUUUUGUACAUUGCAAUCAAAAACAUUAGUAACACAAGAUUAAACUGUUUUCAGUCUUCGUGAAAAACUCACCGAGUCAUGUGAACGGCACCUGCCUUCGUAAGUGGUAUAACUUACUUCACAACUCAUCGUACUCCUUUCUAAGUUUGCAUCAGCUUCCAACGUUUUCUCCUUUGUGCUUCUAAUGUCAUGAAAUAUCUCCAGGUUCCUUUAAUGGGAGUUUUUUUGCCGGUGUCCCUUCCUCUGGGACAUCUUCGUCCUUUUUGUCACAACCACUUUGCUCACUUGUUUGAUAAAUUCACUUCACUCGGUUCCUUUGACAGCACGUCUCGACUGUCUGGCUCGUGCAGUUGCUCUGUCUUUGAUGACCCCAUUUAUGUUUGCUUUGAAUUUCACUCUCAUUGUUUCCAGCUUCCAUUUCUUCGCUGCACUUUCAUCCUUGUUGGCCAAUGCCCUCUUUGGAUGACCACUUUUGUAAACUGUCAUGUGGGUUUAUCACUGGAGACAAGGAGGCAACGCAACCACAUGCUUUGCUGUCUGUGCACAUGAGCUAAGAGGCGUGCAGUGCCCAGUCACCGACAGACUCUGCAAGAAGUGCUGUCAUCAGUCACCGAGCACGAUGCCAUCUGCUGUUCACGUGUGAUGGGUGGAGUGGGGCCACCCACACAGUUUCAGCGAGACAGAACUUCAUGCAAUUACUCACAGUUACUACACUGAGUUUAAAGACAGACAGAAUGAUGCAGCCUGUCAGUAAUCCAACACAGGAAAGCGGGUCUGCAGCCUUCGCGGGGUAGGUGCGGGCAACCUGACGUCAGUGAUCCAGCAGAGAAAGCGAGUCUGCGGCCGUCGGGGAAGCUGGAGAGAUGAGAGAAGUCCUAGUGCUGACCACAGGGUCACUCCACUCCCGCCAUCUCUUGGGAAGCUCUUGAUUUCCUUAUUGUGGUGACACAGCAGAAGAGCGGGCUGAUUCAGUCCCCAGAAGUGGUGUGUACCUUCCAGAAGGCUGUAUGCAUUUGGCCUCUGUUUCCACCCCUGAGCUCCACGCUGGUCUCCAUUUCAGGGACUCAGUGACAACUCACUCAGUCCUGGCCCCCAAGUGGAACAGAGACAGCGUGUGCCACAUUAAUUGGUGCCACAUCUCAUGGGCAGGCUGGCGUGGACUGAGCCUGGGGAACACGUGGCUGCCACACUUCUUCCUGUCCCUGCACACAGCACCUGCUGGAGGAGGGCCUGCCUGAUUGGGCCUGAGGGCUGGCUCAUGAACUCCGGGCACUGCAGCUUCACUUGUAACAGCCAGCGUCUGGAACCAGCCAAAUGUCCAUCCACAGAAGAAUGGAUAAGCAGGUUGUGGUCUGCCCAUAUCAUGGAAUUCAACUCAACAAUAAAAACAGAUGAACUGUUUAUUCACAAAACAGCAUUGUUGACCCUCAAAAGAAUUAUGCUGAGUGAAAGAAGCCAGACGAAAAAUAAUUUUUACUGUAUGAUGGAUUCCCUGUGUAGAAAACUCUGGAAAAUGCAAAUAUAACUGAUACUCGG
This 4443-nucleotide long non-coding RNA is filed under the name Equus asinus (donkey). Its description in RNAcentral is "lncRNA (ENSEASG00005036386.1)". Lineage: Eukaryota; Metazoa; Chordata; Mammalia; Perissodactyla; Equidae. The record is from RNAcentral.